This 2707-nucleotide long non-coding RNA is filed under the name Phasianus colchicus (ring-necked pheasant). RNAcentral's name for it is "lncRNA (ENSPCLG00000014150.1)". The record is from RNAcentral. Lineage: Eukaryota; Metazoa; Chordata; Aves; Galliformes; Phasianidae.
GAACUUUUAGGGGGAAGUUUCACAAAGCAAAUUGGUGGGGCUGGCCACGCAAGGCACACCAAAGGGUAGCCAGCCCUCUUUCUGGACAUGCAAAUAAAUCCCUAGUGUUUCCACACUGCUUAACAGCAAAAAACAGUCUCUCUUGAGCACUGUUUUAUCUGUUGUCUUCAGAAGCUCUAAUGCCAAACAAGCUUGGCUGAGAUCAAAGCCCAAGGUCUACAAAACAUGCGUGUCUGGCAUGAUAUGUGGGAGAACAAUUGGAGCCAUAUAUUCAGAUUUGUAGGGCAUUUGUCGUCUGAUUUUAGUACUUUUAUCUGUUUUAGCAGAAAUUACUUUGGCAAACUAGAAGAAGAGGAAAAAGCUACUGCUGUGUCUUCUUGUAAAUCCACCAAAAUCCCUCAGCAUAAGGAGCUGAAGGGCUCUUCACAUGCUCUGUCUGAGCGAGAGGUUCUGAAGGAGCUGGCUGAGGUGACUGCUGAGCUGCUCUCCAUCAUAUUUGGAAAGUCGUGGCUAUCAGGCGAGGUUCUGGAUGACUGGAGGAAGGGUCAUGUCACACUCAUUUAUAAGAAAAGGAGCAAGGAGGACCCGGGGGACUACAGGCCGGUGAGUCUCACCUCUGUGCCUGGGAAGAUCAUGGAGCAGAUCAUCCUGGAUGACAUGCUUGAUCACAUAAGGAAUGAGCGUGUGAUCCAAGACAGCCAGCACAGCUUCACCAGGGGAAGUUCAUGCCUAACCAAUCUGGUGGCCUUCUAUGAUGGAGCGACAGCAUUGGUGGACAAAGGGAAGGCGACUGAUAUCAUUUACCUGGACUUGAGCAAGGCCUUCAACAUGGUCCCCCACAACAUCCUUAUCUCCAAAUUGAAGGGAUGUGGAUUUGAUGGGUGGACCACUCGAUGGAUAAGAAACUGGUUGAAAGGCCCCAGACAGAGGGUGGUCAUCAAUGGCUCUAUGUCCAGGUGGAGGCCAGUAACAAGAGGCAUCCCCCAGGGGUCUGUCUUGGGACUGGUGCUCUUUAACAUCUUUAUCAAUGACAUCGAUGACGGAAUCGAGUGCACCCUCAGCAAGUUUGCUGAUGACACCAAGCUGAGUGGUGUGGUUGACACGGUGGAAGGAAGUCCUCAUCAGACUUGAGGUGGGCCCAGGUGAACCUGAUGAGGUUCAACACGGCAAAGUGCAGAGUUUUGCACUUGGGCCAGAGGAAUCCCAGGCAUCCAUACAGACUGGAAGGAGCAGUCCUUGAGAGCAGCCCUGCAGAGAAGGACCUGGGGGUCCUGAUGGAUGAAAAAUUUAACAUGAGCCAGCAGUGUGCCCUUGCAGCUUGGAAAGCAAAUGGGCUCCAUCAGAAGAGGGAUGGCCAGCAGGGACAGGGAGGUGAUUGUCCCCCUCUACUCUGCUCUUGUGAGGCCACAUCUGGAGUACUGCGUCCAAGUCUGAGCCCCCAGUACAAGAAAGACAGGGAGCUGUUGGAGAGGGUCCAGAGGAGGGCCACAAAGAUGAUCAGGGGACUGGAGCACCUCCCCUAUGAAGACAGGCUGAGGGAGCUGGGCUUGUUCAGCCUGGAGAAAAGAAGGCUGCGGGGUGACCUCAUUGCAGCCUUUCAGUACCUAAAGGGAGCCUACAAACAGGACGGGAGUCAACUCUUUGAAAGGGUUGAUAAGAGCAGGACAAGGGGAAAUGGUUUUAAGUUGAGGGAGGGAAGAUUUAGGUUGCAAGUGGGGGAAGUUCUUUACAGAGAGAGUGGUGAGGUGCUGGAACAGGCUACCCAGAGAGGUUGUGGAUGCCCCAUCCCUGGAGGUGUUCAAGGCCAGGUUGGAUGGGGCCCUGGGCAACCUGAUCUAAUAUUAAAUGAGGAGAUUGGUGGCCCUGCCUGUGGCAGAGGGUUUGGAGCUUUAUGAUCUUUGCGGUCCCUUCCAACCCGGGCCAUUCAGUGAUUCUGUGAUUCUGUGAUUCUGUGAUUCUGAUUCUGUGAGAGGCAGGUGGGGCUCAGCCAGGAGAUGCACUGCUGAGGUGUGAUCUCCCCUCUGCUCCCAGAGCAGGGAUAAGAGAAACCAGCAGUGGUAGACCUACGUGCACAUCCACUCAACACAACUGGAUGUUCUGGGAGUUUUUGCAUGUUGUCUUAGAAAAAGGAAAUUACCCUCAUUUUCCUCCGCUAUCCCCAUAAUAAGAGAGACUGUGAAGUCUGCCGCUUUGCAAUUAAAAACAUGAUGGUGUUUCAUGCUUGGAGAGGGGGUGGGGGUGGGGAAAUCACCCAUACACCACAACAGAUGGUUUAAGUACAGUGAUUACAAAAUCCUGAAGUUAAAAUAGUUUAAUUACAAAGUCAAUAGUGCCUCCAACCUCUGCUAAGCCUUUAGUGUAAAAACAACAGACGGCAUAGUGCAAACGGUGGGACAAUAUUUAACCAGAACUUUGCAUUAGCUACUGCAGUACAGCUCUCCAUCAGGCCUUCAGUAAACGGAAGAUCAACUGAUUUUCCCAGCUUGUAUUUGUUAACCAUCUCUGCUUUAGUAUCAAUGGGCGGCUGCAAGAGUCACAAACAAACCUGAGGAAACAAACUGCAAUACUAUACUGCAAGCUGAGGCUCAGUGAGAGCGUGUGUAAUGUCCAAUACUGCAAUCACACAGCAGAGACAAAUAUUAGCACCAGACUAGGAAUUAAUUAAUAUAGAGGUAAGAAAUAAAUUAAAAACGAAAAAAGAUGAGCA